CUCCUCCAGCCCCCAUAACCACUACCCGAGAAGGGAGUGGACACAAGAGAAACUCCAGGAACAUCAGAGGAGUAAAUGAGAAGGGGGCUGGUAGAGUCUACUAAGGAGGUAUUAGUAUUCAUAUUAGAAGCCAUGAGUAAUGAACCAGUUUGAGAAGAAAACAGUCUCGGUAAGCAAAAUAUAACGGAACCAGAGUUCACAUACAAAGCAUACAAUACUCAAAAUAAGGACAGAGUUACCCUCCUU
RNAcentral lists this long non-coding RNA (246 nucleotides) under Nicotiana benthamiana. RNAcentral describes it as "long non-coding RNA (NBEN_LNC007334)". The record is from RNAcentral. Lineage: Eukaryota; Viridiplantae; Streptophyta; Magnoliopsida; Solanales; Solanaceae.